GGCGAGCGCUGAGGUGCAGCUUCGGCAUUGUGAGAUGCGGUUCCGUUCACAUCUCCAUGCAGUAUGGGGGCUAUGGCUUGGAAUCCAGCAAACUCCCACCUCGCAUCUCUAUAUUCCAGCAAGCAUCACACUUUGCAUUCCCAGGUUCUGCUAGAGAGGUUCAGUUGUGUUUGUUGUGUUGUUUUCACUUACUUUGUUGUCUUGUGCAGUUCGCAGAUUCUGCUAGAGAGGUUCACUGUCUUCUACGCAUUCCCAAUAUGGACUAUCAUGCAGUACGCCGGUCCAUGGUGUGAGAUUCACUGGGUGCAUGACUGGAGUGCAGUUGACCCUCGUGUGGUGCAGUGCAGUUUGUAGUUUUUUUGUGUCUUUAGAAUUGUAGUGAAUUGCAAUUUGACUGAAUUUAUCCAGUGCAAAAAAAUUGUUAAAUUUGGUAUAGUGGACGACAGUGUGUGUGUGUGUGUGUCAGUGUAGUGCAGUUUGGCUCCAGUCUGGGGCGCUCCUCUGGUGCGGCGUCGGCCAGUUCGGGAGGCAACGGGAAAAAAAACUCGGGUGGUGUAGUUCGCGAGUCUCCCAUCUGCAGUACCCAUGUCUUCAGUAAAUUUGUUUGAAGAGAGACAAAAGAAUGUAGUCCACUCCAUUUGUGUAGCAGCUCGUUACCCCACUGUAUGAAGUGCAAUUUGUUUCGUGUGUCUUAGAAUUCAGUCGACUAUGUCAACACUUGCAGUGCGUUUGACCCUCGAAUGUGGAUUACCUUUACCAGUGAUGCUGUUCACUUGCGCCAAAUAUGAAGUGUGCGAUUUUUUUAAAACAAAACAAGAAGAUAGCAAUGAGGUUCAUUUGCCCUCGUCUCUAUGGUCCACUCUCGUUCAUAAAAAUUGUUGAAAAAAGACAACAAAAACUCGUAUGGGAAAAUUUAUGUCCCACAAAAAAAAUCAUGCAGUGCACUUGUCGGUCUGAUGAAGUGUGGCUUUUAGUCUAAAGAAGUGCACUCCACCUCGUUUGGUAAAAUUUAUGUCCCAUAAAAAAAUCAUGCAAUGCACUUGUCUGUCCAAUGAAGUGCGAUUUUUAGUCAAAAUAAGUGACGUUUUCUGUCUGAUGCAAUACGGCCCGUUUACGGUAUAGUCUCGAGGUUCACUUUUCAUAGUCUUGGGGUUCACCAACACUUGACAUGAAGUGCACUCCACCUUUUGUUUAGGAAAAUUUACGUUCCACAAAAAAGAAAUCAUGAAGUGCACUUGUCGGUCGGAUGAAGUGCGGUUUUUAGUCUGAAAGCAGUGCUGUUUUCUGUCUCAUGCAGUACAUACGACGAUUUUGGGUCGCGAAAAAAUAGAGUGUCCGCAUUUCGUUAAAAUCAAAAUUGCGCUUCAGCCGUAAGGAAUCAGAGAGAGUGUUCUACAUGAAAAAGUUGCGCCUCAUUGAUAUCUUUCUAAUGGCGUAUAAUUCGAAUCAUUUUGACCAUCGGUUUGCAAAAAUUUCGCGAAAAACGGCCGAUGCCUCCCGUCGUCAGCCGCACGAUUUUCAAAAUUAACUAAAAACCAUAAGGAAUCUGAAACAUAUUCCAACAUACGAAAGUUGCGCCUUGUCCAUAGCUUUCCAACGGCGUAUCAUAAUCCUCGUUUCGGCAAAUGGUUCAAAAACUGGAGCUAAAACAGUACCGAAAAUUUGAAAAAAUUCAAAAAAACGUAAUUCCACGAUUUAGUAAAUUUGUAACUGCUCUUAAACUAUAAUGAAUUAGAAAAAAAUAAUAGAUAUGAAAAAGAUGUGCCUCGAUGAUAUCUUUCCAACUGUGUAUCAUUUGCUUUAUUCCGAUGAGCGGUUUAGACAAAAUUGCGAAAAUACGCUUGCUGCCACUCAUCAUUCGCCGCACCAUUUUUGAAACUACUCUUAAACCGCGAGGAAUCUCGAAAAGUGUUCAACAUGAAGAAGUUGCGACUAAUCCAUAGCUUUCCAAUCGUAUAUUAUACGUCUCGUUCCGAUGAACGGUUAGAAAACUAGAGCAAAAACAGUACCGAAAAAACACUGCAUGCAGUUUUUUACGACACGAAGUUCACUAGUGUGUAUUGCAGUGCCCUUGCUACAGAAUGUGCAGUGCACUUGCGUUGAGCGUGCAGUGCGGAAGUAUUAUCAGAAUAGUUGUUAUGCUAAUAUUAGCAGAAUAGACCGGUUGUAUAUAUNNNNNNNNNNNNNNNNNNNNNNNNNNNNNNNNNNNNNNNNNNNNNNNNNNNNNNNNNNNNNNNNNNNNNNNNNNNNNNNNNNNNNNNNNNNNNNNNNNNNNNNNNNNNNNNNNNNNNNNNNNNNNNNNNNNNNNNNNNNNNNNNNNNNNNNNNNNNNNNNNNNNNNNNNNNNNNNNNNNNNNNNNNNNNNNNNNNNNNNNNNNNNNNNNNNNNNNNNNNNNNNNNNNNNNNNNNNNNNNNNNNNNNNNNNNNNNNNNNNNNNNNNNNNNNNNNNNNNNNNNNNNNNNNNNNNNNNNNNNNNNNNNNNNNNNNNNNNNNNNNNNNNNNNNNNNNNNNNNNNNNNNNNNNNNNNNNNNNNNNNNNNNNNNNNUAUAUACGCAUAACAAAAUAUUAUUCUGUUACCCUACUUGAACUGAUAAAUUCAACUGGUUGAACUGAUGAAAUUUGAGCGGUUGAACUGAUGCUUUCUGUUUGUGUUAAAAAUCGUCUUCUUUAGUUCAAUUUUUUUGCAAUUUUUUUGUCGAAACGGGGCAUGUAAUAUAUCGUUGAAAAGCUCUUGACAUCUACAUUACAAUCUUAUAAUUUGUUUUUGCAAAAAAUUAUGGUUUAAGAGCAGUUUUGAAAAAAAUCAUUUUUUUCAAAACCGAAAUCACGAAUCGUAUUUUAGACUUAAUUUUCAAACGGUUUAUCAGAAUUGAGAAAAUGAGACGGCGUUGGAAAGCUUGUGAAAAUCCGCAUCUUCCAUAUAUCUACUAUUUUUUUCAAAUUCUGUAUGAUUUAAAAGUAAUUUGAAAAAUGGUGAAAUCCUGGGCAAAACGUAUUUUCGCUGUCUUUUGCAAACGCUUCGUCGGAUUGACGCAAAUGAUACAUCGUUGGAAAGCUAUGGAAAAUGCGCAACUUUUUUGUAUUGAAAUGUUUAUCUAAUUCCUUAUGGUUUAAAAACAAAUUCGAAUACGGUCAAAUUUGAUUUCGAACGCGAUUUUUUAAAAAAGUUUGUCGAAAUUGGGCAAAUAAUAUACCAUUGGAAAGAUAUUGGAAAUGCGAAACUUAGUCAUGUUGAAUAUUUUCUCAAAUUCGCAAUCGUUGAAGAGUAAUUGUGAGUAUGGUGAGACUCAUCAUGUUGUUUUUUCCGGUCGGAAAACAGAGUACUCGUACUGAUCUAUUUGUGUGUUUGUACUGAGGUAUUUUUCACAGUAGUUUUGAAUGGUUCCGAAAAAAGAGUACUUGAACGGAUACCAGUAUGUUUUUGUACUGAGCGUGUUUUCACGUAGUAGACUUUACUCUGUAUUUUCCGGUAUGAUUUUCCUCGUAACUUCUCAAUGGUUUACGAUAUCAUCGUCCCUGAACUUGCAUGGUUUUAUAUCGUUGAACUGAAUGACAUUUUAUUUAAAGAAAAAUAUUGUGUGUUUCUUUUUUUCAACUCUAACGUUUUUUUCAACAUUGUUUUGGACUUCUCUCAUUCCGUGACUUGAACUUUCACCAUUUGAAUUUCCAUAGGGUUUCUUUUUGUUUGAGCUUUUUCCUAAAACUUAUCUCGGCUUCGUGUUGAACUUAAAACUUUUUAAAUUGUGAACUUAUUGUGUUUUUACAAUUCCAAAGCUAGCAAGUAGUAGGAGAUUUACCCAACAAAGGGGUUAAUUACAUGGAGCAGCCGCAGUAGUACCACAAUCUGAUCGAUAGCUAGCAGCAAUACCAGUGCUCACUAAUACACAUACACAUGAACUGAUAACCAACUUGCGCACGACCUGACAAACAAGAAAAUGCAUUAACUGACAAAAAGAACACAAUACACAUGAACUGAUAAUCCCCACGGCUGAUGACAGAGCUUUGUAGCAUCUAGGUUCACCCAUUUACUAAAAGUAGAACUUCUGAGUUUUAUCAAUUCAGGUGAUGUUUAAAUGCUCACCAUUUUGGCCUACAUCAGAAUACUCACAACACAACAAUAUGUGCUAAAGGUCCUGCAAUUAUAGAGUUACAGAACAAAUUCUUUGUCCAACGACAAUGUAAGAGUCAUGACCAGUAAUCACAAACAACACUAGCUCGACCGCCCAGCAUCUGCGUGCGGCGAGGGGAGGAGAUACUAUGAUGCUAGAUGUGUAGAGACAACAAGCUCACGCAUAGAAGACGAUGGACGACUCAUGCAGGAGGCCUCAAACUGCUCUCCUGUUGCCACCGAUGGCUAUGGAUCAUGCAAAAUCCUGACCAAAAGAUCACAUUUAUUUUCACGAAACUAAUCUCUUGUACUUGCUCUAAGAUAAUCUUCGAACCUCCUACAAGAACAAUCAUCAUUUUAAAGUCCACAUGAAUACCUACAAGAAAUGAUCACAAACAUUUACAGGACAUUCUUUUAAAGAGCUAUGCAAGAAUAAUUAAAAUAGGGUGAAACAAAUAUCAUCUAGAUUCUAGCAACAGCCGUUUUGCAUGAUCAUUGACAUUUGGAAUAGCAUCCAACAACUAUCAGAGUUCCGUAAGACCACAUUUGUACUUACUAUGACGAUGUACUUGUGCUGCGCAAAAACAUACAUGUAAGCACAAAAUAAACAUUUAAAUACAUUGGUGCUCACAUGAAUAGUCACAAACACCUAAAGAGCAUGUUUUUUUCACAUCUUCCCAACUACUCAGUUAGCAGAAUACCACAUCUAUGCAUUUUAAUAGCAGGAGCAAAGAAAGAGAGAGAGAUUGUUGUGAGAGAGUGCCAUUGACGCACACAUAGGACUACCAUCAGCGCUCAACUUGGACGGCUGCCAUCAACCAUGGUGGACGGCUGCCACCAAAAAAACAAAUUGCAAACUACACAACUACGAAUAGGCCAAACCGGUAAGCACAUCAGAAUCAUAAGAAAUCCCACCAGGUACAGGCACACCCUCCUAUUCACAACUCUGAAGUAUUGAUGAACCCUGUUCUCAAAGAUAAUGCCAUAUUGUGGGAUCAUUUAAGUGCACAACUAAGAGCACUAUGAGACAGAAAUAUUGUACAACUACAGCGACAACUGCAAAAAAGUACAACAUUGGUAAAAAAAUAGAUUAUUUGUGACAGCAGGGCAGAUGGCAACUUGGUUAUUCAAGUUCCAAUUGCUUAAAUCAGACCGUUCUAGCUUAGAAUCUAGCUAACACAAAACAAAUCUGAAGCAGUCGGCCUAGCCACACCCCCAACAUAACUAAUUCCACCAGAAGAGCCAUUUGCAACCUACAUGGCCUUCGCUCGACCAAGAUCUUAGCAUUCCUCACACGGGAUCCAGGCACUGGAGCAAGAAGUGACAGCUUGCCAAAGUGUGAGGAGGGGAUCGUCCGGCGGCGUAUCAAGGAGAGAUUGCGGUGGCACGCUGAGACCGUGAUGCGGGUGCCCCUAAACUGAUGUGAAUUUUCUUGCGAAACUGCUAUGCAAUCAUGCAAUGAGUGAGAUACCAUAUAAUAUAAAGUCGAGCUCUCUCUAACACACAUCAAAAUAUAUUUUUACGGUUGUUCUGUAUGAACUAAUGAGAAAAUACACAUUGAACUGAUAAUAAUAUAUUAUUUUCUCAUAUAGGAAACAUGUUCUUCGCCACAAGAACUGAUACUCUAACACACAGAGAAUUGUUUCCAUGCUAAGAACGGAGGAUAAAAUAAAUAGUGAUUUUCUAGGGUCUCAUUGCAACCUUGCUUCCUAUUCAAUUAAGGAUUCAUGUGACACUUGCUUACCCUUUCAUCAGUACUAGUACGACUCAACAAUAAGUUCGGAAUUGUAGACGACAUCCUUGUCAGUACGACUCAUCAAUACUAUAUGGAUGUUAGUCUUAACACUAAGAAUAGUACUGAUCAGUACUAAUAUUUUGUGUAAGUUGUACUGAUCAGUACUGCUACUUGUCGUACUAAUGAGCAGUACUGAUCUAGCUAACACAAAGAUUUUUUUCAUCUAGUGGAUUUUUAACAUUAUAUUAGAAAAAGAAAUCUAGAGCAAUUAUCUUGUAUAACCAACAAACAAAUAUAGCGGAGAAGCUGCAAACACAACCCGCAAUCAUCAACUGAAGUUGUGUUCUUACUCUGACCAAGUUCAGUUUUCUUCAGAAAAAUGGAUGAAAAAUAGCAUUGGCUUUGCCAUCAAUUUUUAGCAUGUAUGGGGACGGACAGGUGAUGAGAGGAUGGACCUUCUAAUGGUGGAGAAGAACUACAAUCUGAGGGGUGGCAGGAGACGUACUAGUGUAGGACGCUGUCGAUGGUGCAGCGUUGUCCAUGGAGAGUCCUUCCAGGUGGCACUCACUAUCUCAAAUCAGAAAAAGACCGAUGACAAUGGUGCGUGAACCAGUACGACGGACGUUGGGCACGAACCAGGACGCCGGCUACCGGAUCGUUAAACGGAUCGAGGGUGCCAUGCACGCAGCCCUUUUGGUGAUCGACGACGGAGCAUGUAGUUGUACUGCCGAGAGGAACAAUCUCGACCCCGCGGCUCCCUCCUGCAGCCGUGGGUGGCGUGUGGGAGGGAGGCGACAAAUGGUGGUGCGGGGAUCUGGAUAUGGCCGGCGGUGCGUGAUUUCGGGGAUGGCCGGCGACGCGUGGACCUGGGGGUGGGCAGCGGCGCGCGGACCCGAGUGUGGGUGGGGCAAGCUGGAGGAAGGAGGACGCCGACAAUGUGGAAGGAGAAGGCUGGUUGGGCGGCGCAGGACGACAACAAACGCAGUGGCGGUGGUGCGUGGGUAGGGAGGGGCGAGCGGCCGGUGGCGAGAGCGCGUGGGGAGGGAGGGGCAGCCGUCCGGCACCGGUAGCGCGCUGGUAGGGAGGGGCGGCCGGCCGGCGGCGGAAGCGCGCGGGUAGGGAGGGGCGAGCGGCCGGCGGCGGCAUCGCGUGGGUAGGGACUAGGAGGGAGUGGUUCGGGGUAGGCUUUGUUUUGUUCUUUUAGUUUUUCCAUUCGGGUGGGGCGGCCGGUCUAUCGAGAUUCAACCGGGCCUAUAUAGGGGCCAAGGGUAACAGCAUAAUAUUCUGUUACCUGUAACAGAAUAGCCCUGUCCUAUAUAUAUAUAUAUAUAUAUAUAUAUAUAUAUAUAUAUAUAUAUAUAUAUAUACUUCUGCACUGCACGCUCAACGCAAGUGCACACCAUUGCUUGAACCAAGUGUGCUGCAGUACUCACGCGAGUGAACUUCCCGUCGCAAAAAACUGCAUGCCGUAUUUUUUGGGUACCCUUUUUGCUCUAGUGUUUUAACCGUUUAUCGGAACGAGGCGUGUAAUAUACCGCUCAAAAGCUAUGGAUUAGGCACAACUUCGCCAUGUUGAAUACUUUUUGAGAAUCCUCACGGUUAAGAGCAGUUUUGAAAAUGGUGCGGCCCACAACGAGUGGCAGCGAACGUUUUUCGUGUUUUUUUCUAAACCGCUCGUCGGAAUGAAGCAAAUGAUACACUGUUGGAUAGAUAUCACCGAGGCGCAUCUUUUUCAUAUACAGUUUUUUCUCUAAGUCAUUACGGUUUAAGAGUAGUUUCAAAUUUACUAAGUCGCGGAAUUCUGUUUUUCAAUUUUUUUUCAAAUUUUCGGUACUGUCCAGUUUUUUAACCGUUUGUCGAAACAAGGUGAUGCGGAGCAUCCCACGCUCAUCCCCAUGUACACUCCGACUACUCCCCAAGCCCCAAGUGGACAUAUGACGAGACCUCGAGCUUACACCAUUGGACCUAAGGUGAACCCGUUCCUAAAUGCUUCCCCUUUCCACUUGUGCGAGACAUGGUUGCUACCUAAUGCAAAGACACUAUGUAUGCUCAGGAACCGAGGACCCCCGGACAUCCGGUGCCCCGCGACGGGCCAAACAUCCGACGCCUGCCCGGAAAUCCGGCGCCCGUUAUCCAGAGAGCAGAAGAAUUGGCCACUCCAGCCCGGACAUCCGGCGUCUAGGGAAGGCCCGGACAUCCGGCCCGACGCCCGGACAUCCGGCCCUCCUGCCUGCGUGCAGCGCAUCUGGGCCGAGUCCCAUGUACCCCUUCGCCCCUUAGACUAUAUAUACUCCCCCACCUCCUCCUAAUUAGGGUUAGCAUUGGUUUAGCUCAUAUUUUGUGUGAGAGCCUUGCUCAUCCACUUGGUUACUUCUCCUCAAAGCUCACGACCUCUUCGGAGAAGAUCCCCCAAGCAAAUUCAAGACCCCUUCAAGGGAAGACAAUCAAGACCUCCUCACGGAGAAGAACGGCUACCUUUGUAUCUUUCCUUUGUUGUUUUUGAAUCAUGUGCUACCUCAUGUGUUCGUGAUCUAGCCCUUGUGUGAUCGAUACUUGUCGGUUGAGUGAUUCUCUCGUUCCUCCCCAUGUUUUCCCCUUUGUGUUUUCCGCGCGUUCUUCUUGUUUCCCCAUAGGAUCCACUCCAAAUGUGAAAGAUCGGUCCCUAGGGUUCCGCCCUACAUCAUCUUGGUAUCAUGAGCCACGUUGAUCACGUUUCUGGAGCCCCUACCCCUCUUUUUCUAGCUUGAUUUUGUUGAUUUCGUCCUAAAACCGAAAAUCCCCACCAAAAAUAGCCCCCAAUUUUGAUUUGUUGGUUUGAUGAUGUUUUGUUGAUUUCGAUCCGUGGAUUUGCUUGGUUUCAAGUGGAUCUAGCUUUCAACCAAGUUUCCCCACAUUCCAUCCACGAAAUCUCUCCAAUUUUGCCCCCGAAAUCAUCAAUUUCCGCCCCAAAAUGGAGUUCCUCGAGUUCAUCCUAGGAUUUGGAGCCCAGACAUCCGGCCCGACCACCGGACAUCCACCCAUUAGCCCGGACAUCCAGCUCCUGGAGUGCAUUUUCGCACAAGUUUCUGGACAUCAGGUCCCGGAAAUCCGGCCCGACCCCCGGAUGUCCGGCCCUGGGAUUUGAACCUUUUCUAUUUCACCGUUUUGACCAUAACUAAUUCAUCCGGAGUCCGUUUUUGACGUUCUUUAGCUUGUUUUGAAGCUAUUGACAUCCCCCAUCCCAAAAAAUACCACCAUCAUCAUUUGACUCCAUCAAAUUUUUGAAAAUUUGGCAAGUUUGCCUAGGGCUUCCACCACAUCAUCCGCAUAGCCACCACCGACUUCCGCAACCUAACCCAUUUUGGUUGCCAUAGCAUUAGUGAUUGCUUGAGUAGUGAUUAGAGUCUCCUAAGGUGUUUUGGCUACUUAGGGACAAUUACUUCUUCAUCAACAACCACCACCACUUUCGCAUAGGCUUGCCCACCAUACACUUCCGCCACCGCAACUUAACCCAUUUUGUUUGUGUUAUGAGUUGUGUCUCCUAAGGUGUUUCGGAUACUUAGGGACGGCAACUUCUACUUUGACACGUGUAUAGCCCGUCAUCCCACUUCCGCAUUGCCAAGUGCAAACCACCACCGCUUUCCGCUACCACCAUUUUGACAUUUGACGUGUGAGAUUUUGAGUUCGCGGUUUUUCCGGUUCCUAAGGUGUUUCGGCUACUUAGGGACGAGUCUCCAUCAUCUUGGUUUCUACAUCAAGAACACCGCUACUCAUCAUCGCCGGACGGUAACCUCCAUAUCAUCUUGGUAUUGUGGUACCCCUCCAUUGUAUAUUCCCCUUGCCAUUGCAUUGUUAACCCCUAGCCCAUUUUGCAUUAUUUGCCUAUCGAGACUAGCCAUUUGAGUAUUGCCGGCGACGUUACUUGUGCACAUUAGUGAUCCAUACUUCCCAUAGAAUACAUACCAUAUCAUCGUGGUGCAUAUAUUGGUAUCAUAUCAUGUGUCACGAGUUUGUUCCCGCAUAUACACAAUUGCUAUCUUGGUUUGUGCAUUGUGCAAAAGUGGCCAUACAAAAAAAGAGAGAAAUAAAGCUUUUAAGCAAAAGAAAGAGAGCAAAGAAGCUUGUAAGCAAGUGCCAUAGCAUCAUACGACAUUGCAUAUAAGAUUGUCAUAUCCGGUCAUCUUGGAUCAUCUUGAGAGAAACACCGGGAACCAUACAUACAUAGCACACUUGGGAUAGAAGUUUAUCCAUUUUGCAUAUCAUAGGUUGUGCACAAGUGUCGUAUCCGCCUAUAGAGCAAUCAUGCUAGCGUCUCUCUUGAAUUGUGCAACACGAGCAUUCUCCGUGGAUUCCACAUUUUGUGCUCAUUCCUUGGUUGCACGACCCCAUUUAUCUAUCCAUGUGUGUGUUUCCGUGAGCCAUUCAUUGCUAUUGGUCUACUUGUUUCGCUUGCGAAUUUGUGAAUCUCUUUCAACAUUAUUGACUCUUGCUAACAUUUUGCAUCAAAUUUUUGUGCCACUAUCCUCACCGAGCUCCACCAUAAGCUUUACUUGUGUAGGUGUGAGAACCGACAAGGAUUGGUACCAAUAGUGCUAUUUCAUUGUCCGCAUUUGAGUGAACUUGAUUCAUCGUCAACAUCGGUGAAGGUACAUUGGUAUAAGUUCUUCUCUUUCUCCCACUCAUAUAUGCUCGAGUCUUGUGAUGGAUAGGCAAGGCAUUUCAUCUCCGAUCUACGACAACAAUGAUGGCAUGGACAACUACAUCAAAAAAGCAUCCAUCUUCGAUCUACAACGACAAAUGCAAGGCGCACAAUCAAGAUUGCGAGAGCGCAUCAAGACCAUCUCCAUCGACAUUUGUCACUCCGAAGCAAGGAAAAGGGACUACAUUGAUAAGAAGCUUUCCGCACAUAAAUAGGAGCAAGAUGCAAGGAUGGAGGAGAUUAGAGCCUUGAUCAAGUCUUCUUCCCCUUCGUCAUCUUCAAGGCGGCGACAUUCAAGCCACAAGUCUUUGGAGUGCGAAAAAGAUGCAAGUGCAAUUCGUCCACGUCCACAUCUUCAUGAUGACCACCGUCACAAUCGUGAUCCACAUCGUCAUGAAGGGCAAGUCACCUCCAAGAAACAUGUGCAUGACGACAACGAACGCCUACGAGCUCAAGCACGACAACGACAUCAUCAUCAUGAAGAUGCUCCACCAGCGCAAAUGCACAAGUCCCAACAAGACCUACUUCACGCCAAGUCAACGCUUCAUGAGCACAAAAGAGACCGCGAGAAGACCACCACCAAGACGGUGCUACAGCUACAACAACCACUUCGGCAUCUUCGCCAAGUGCUAUCAAGGCUUCUUCGCCUUUGGACGUACGACAUCUUCGCCUACUUCCCAUGAGUACGCCUACAACGACUUCAUCAAGUCCAAGGCGACCACCUACGAGCGAGGGCGACACUUCCAUCUUCGGAAGCCCCUCAAGGAAGAUGGCCGAGCAUGGGAAACUCCUUUCGGUCAUGGAGACGAGCUACGAGGUGCCACAUCAUAUGGGCCUCCAACAACAAGACAGCGACAAGAAGGUCGAGCAAGGGCCAUCCCCUUCGACCACGGCGAUAGGAGUUGAGCAUGGAGACAUUUGCACCAACAUCUCUCUGACACCCACAUAUGUUGAGAUGCCCCAUUUAUCAUGUGAGGAGAUCCACCACCACAUGAGUGACAUGAGUGACUCCACCAUAUGUGACAUUGAGAGCAUUCCCUAUGAGAGGAUGAGUGUGACCACCACUAGCCCCACAUAUGAGAGCAUGCCACACAUCCUAUGUGUGGUUGAGAGCCAUUUGAGUGAUUCCACCAACCAUAUGAGUGAGUGCAUUAUUGAGGGAGUGAGUGAGCCACAACACGUAGUGAGUGAGGUAGUUGAGACGGCAUGUGAGGCCACUAUGAUUUCUAACGACUUAACCUCUACUCCUAGUGUGUUUUCUACUUUGGUGAUAGGUCUCCUACAUGACGACAUGCCUAUCCUCGACGACUCCAUACCUCCAAUGGACAAACCGAUGGCGAUGGUGGACGAUGAUGCACCCCCACAUGGUUCCAUCAAGAUGUAGAUGACAACGAGUGGAUCUUCAACACCUCACCGACAACACAUGAGCGAUGCACCAAAGGUAACAUAGGUGAUGGUACUUCUCUUGUCCCACUAGUGGACUAUCUUGACAUCGAUUGCUCCCAUGAUGUUGACACACCUAUUGCCAUGCUUCAUGCUAAUGAGACUUCUUCAUGCCUUGACUUACCUAUUUAUGAUGAAUAUGAUGAUGAGCAUGUUGAGUUGCCUAGUUGUGAUGCUAUGCUCCAUAGGAUAUCAUGUGAAAAUUCUUUUGGUCACAUCAUGUUUGACAAUCCAUUGAACUUGUCAUAUGCUAUGAGUGAGAUCUCCCAUAUUGCAUCAUUUAAAUCUCAACAUAGUAACUAUGCAUGCCCCAUUAAAACAAAUCCCAUUUGCACUUAUGGCAUAGAUGACGAGAUGAUGGUCAGUGGCUUUUGUUUUUCAUGUGAUGAUAUUGCCAUGCUUCCUUUACAUGAUUUGCGCAAUUCAUCUACUAUGCCAUGCCAUGAUCACAUUGCACCAAAUAUGCUUUAUUUUGGAUGUUGUCAAUAUUCUCCAUGUGAUGUUGCUACUCAUGCUCAUGAGGAGACCCCCGUAGUUUCCUCAUACAUAUUAGGAGAUUUUGUUGCAUUCCAUACUUUGUAUGAUUCCCAUGAUAGUGUACACCAUAUGCAUUCCAUGAAUAACAAUGCUCUAGAUAUUUCUCAUGAUGCAUUACAUCCUUUGAGUCUCCAUUAUGACAUACAUAAUAACAAACCUCUCAUGAUGGAUGACAUGUUUCUAUAUCACGCAUCUCAUUUAUUUGAGCAUUGGAUAUUUUGUGCUAACCGACACAUGCCCGUGCGCAUCAUGACGGAUGAUGUGUACAUAUACCAUGCACACACAAUUUUCUCUUUGUCUUUGUUUUGUGUAGGUACUCAUGUAUACUCGUCAACCUCUCAAUCCCAAGAGUUGACAAAACGAGCUCUUGAGAGCAACGAUGCUUUGGGAUCCCGUGGACUAUCCUUACUACCAUUCCCUUCGCGCAAGGACUACGCACAUCUCUUUUACUUGGCUCUCACACGGCUAUGGGCUAUUUACCACUUGUCACCUUAUGCCCAUACUAUCGUGUUCACUUUGCAUGUUAUGCCUCUUUACAUGAUUUUGCCAUGCAACCGUGACCCUUGCUUGCAUAUACCCAUGAUUCACCAUUAUGCUACUUCCAUGUGCAUUUGCAUGCUUGGUGGAGAUCCUUCUUGAUAUUGCCAUGUUUAUCAUGUGCCCCAUGCUAUUGAUGCUUGUUGUGUUGGGAGAGUCAUGAUGCCCCAUUGCUAUUUACAUAUGGCCUCUCGCCAAUACAUUCGUGCCAUUCUACUCAUACAUUGCUUUCAUGCUUGUGAUAUGUCAUGUGCAUUAUUUAUGCCCACUAUUUGCACACAUGACAUGCUUGCCAUUAUUCCCUCUAGUAUGUUGCAUCUUUGCACUACUAGCUUGCUUGACUUGAUCGCUAUGAUUGCUUGCUAUGUUGCAUCACCCAUGUUCCACUACUACUCGCUUUCUUGGGUUGAUGACAUAUAUUUUCAUGCCUCUCACAUGAUAUAUCUUGUUCAUUGUCUCUUGUUUCCAUUAGUUGCCUCUCUCAUAUCCACUUGUAUUGAGUGCAACCAUACUAUGCUUAUUGAUCUUGGAGACUUUGACAACUUACUUGUGAUGCAUGCUUGUUUGAUUGAGCCUCUUGUAUUUGGUUGUUCUUACAUCAUAUGGCUCCAUACUAUGAAAUGCUCCUUUGUCCUUUAUUAUGAUGAGCAUUAUGCAUACACUUGUUGGGUAUAUUACCACCCGAAUGAUAGGUUUUUCAUGUCCGCUAACCUCAUUUGUUUUUCCGAGUGUUUGUCAUGUUAUUUUGUUUUGAAGGAUCCACAAGGCAUUACCGUCAUGAGACAUAUUGGCUAUGUGAAGGCAUACAUGAUGUGCGACACCAACAUUUUCGACAUCCUCAUAAAGGUAAACUCCUUCCCUAUGAGCCAUCCUCAAAUACGCAUAUUGGAUGGGUCAUUCUUUCAUUGUUGUUUCCUUCUUGUUGUCUACAUGAUACAUCUCACGAACGGAGGAGCGACAUUGGAGAUUGGCUCUAUGGACCUUCAAAUUGAGGAGCACUCACACUUAUUGGAUGCACCUUCGAAACUCCACUCAUGCCUAGACAUCGAGCUUUGGUACACCAACACCUCCAUAUUUGUUGAUUGUGCUCAUACAUGUCAUGCUCGAUGGACAUAUCAUAGUCACCACAAGUUUGCACCCCAUGCAUGGAUUGACUCUCAUUAUGCUUGUCUUGUUGCAUCUAUUUCCAUGUCAUCCAUGAUAUAUGAGCUUGUGCACUUCCUUAGAAAAUUUGUUGUGAUCUACCUUGAUGGCAUAUUCAUACAUCAUGAUCAUAUUGCCCACCAUCAAUUGCAUGAUAACAUACAGACGUUGAGCAUCCAUUGCCAUAUUCAUGCUAUUGAUAAACCGUCUCACUAUGACAUCAUUUUGCACCGUGGUUGCAUUGAUCAUAUUUACAACACAUUUGUGUGCACAAUGAUAGCAUUUCCUCCCAUGAAUGCUUUACAUCUCAUUCUACAUCUUUUGGAUAAGCAUCUUGUGCCUUGCCAUGCACUAUCUUGCCGCAUGGACUCAUUCUUACAUGAUGGACAUUUUAUGUGCGCUAACCAUUGUAUUUCUGAGUGUCGCUUGUGCUUGCUCUUUUUGCAUGUCUAUCACCCUGGUGACACCUUGGACUACUUGGAUUGUGCCAUGUCUUCAACUUCGUCUAACUACAAGUCUGUCCACGACAACCGUUUCCAUGGUGAUGAGGAUUACGAUCCGAGGUCAGAUCUUUCCCAAGGGGGGGGGAGAUGAUGCGGAGCAUCCCACGCUCAUCCCCAUGUACACUCCGACUACUCCCCAAGCCCCAAGUGGACAUAUGACGAGACCUCGAGCUUACACCAUUGGACCUAAGGUGAACCCGUUCCUAAAUGCUUCCCCUUUCCACUUGUGCGAAACAUGGUUGCUACCUAAUGCAAAGACACUAUGUAUGCUCAGGAACCGAGGAGACAACCUUGGAGAUACUCGAAGCAUAGGACAAGUCCACACGGAAGUGGAUCAAUAAGUGCCUCAAGUGGAGUUGCCGCGGAGCUACAGCGGCCGGACAUCCGGCAGGAGCCCGGACAUCCGGCGCCACCAACCAGAAGAAGACCAGAGAGAGGCAGAAAUCGGGCGACUCUACAGCGGCCGGACAUCCGGCCGACCCCCGGACAUCCGGCGCCCCGCGAUGGGCCGGACAUCUGGCGCCUGCCUGGAAAUCCGGCGCAUGUUAUCCAGAGAGCAGAAGAAUCGGCCACUCCAGCCCGGACAUCCGACGUAUCGGGAAGGCCCGGACAUUCGGCCCCCCUGCCUGCGUGCAGCGCAUCUGGGUCGAGUCCCAUGUACCCCUUUCGCCCCUUAGACUAUAUAUACUUCCGCACCUCCUCCUAGUUAGGGUUAGCAUUGGUUUAGCUCAUAUUUUGUGUGAGAGCCUUGCUCAUCCACUUGGUUACUUCUCCUCGGAGCUCACGACCUCUUCGGAGAAGAUCCCCCAAGUCGAUUCAAGACCCCUUCAAGGGAAGACAAUCAAGACCUCCUCACGGAGAAGAACGACUACCUUUGUAUCUUUCCUUUGUUGAUUUUGAAUCUUGUGCUACCUCAUGUGUUCGGUGAUCUUGCCCUUGUGUGAUCGAUACUUGUCGGUUGAGUGAUUCUCUCGUUCCUCCCCAUGUUUUCCCCUUUGUGUUUUCCACGCGUUCUUCGUGUUUCCCCGUAGGAUCCACUCCAAACAUGAAAGAUUGGCCCCUAGGGUUCCGCUCUACAUCACAAGGCAUGUAAUAUACCGUUGAAAAGCUAUGGACGAGGAGCAACUUUUAUAUGUUGAAAUGUUUUUGAGAUUCCUUAUGGUUUUUAAGUUAAUUUUGAAAAUCGUGCAGCGGACGACGAGUGGCAGCGGCCGUUUUUUUUUUGAAAUUCUUACAAUCCGCUUGUCGGAGCGAUUCAAACGAUAUGUCGUUGGAAAGAUAUCGACGAGGCGCAACUUUUUCAUGUAGAACACUCUCUCUAAUUCUUUACGGUUUAAGAGGAAUUUUGAAUUUACCAAAAUGCGGACACUCUUUUUUUCGCGACAUCAAAAUCGACGAAUGAGCCGCAUCAGACGAAAAUUGCACUCCUUCAGACUAAAUACCGAACUGCAUUAGACGGGCAAGUGCACUGCAUCGUUUCUUUUGUGAGAUGAAAAUUUUCUCAGACGAAAUUGAACUGCUUCAGACUAAAUACCGCACUGCAUCAGACAGGCAAGUGCACUGCAUAGUUUCUUUUGUCGGAUGAAAAUUUUCUCAGACGAAAAUUGAACUGCUUCACACUAAAUACUGCACUGCAUCAGACGCGCAAGUGCACUGCAUCGUUUCUUCUAUCGGAUGAAAAUUUUCUCACACAAAAAAGUGGACCGCUCUUCACGUGUAAGUAAACCACAACACUAUUGAGAAGUGAACAGCAUUACUAUCAAGAAUGAGCUGCCUUAUCAUCUUUCUUUUAUGGAGCAAACCACCAAACCAUAUAUAAUGAGCUGCAUCAUUAGUCAACAUUUUUUUGUCACACAGUCCUUUUCUCUUCUUCAAUACUUACAACCAACCACAUAGUUUGGCAGAACCAGCUAUAUUGUGUUUCCAACAAUUGCAAACAGAAUUUGCCAGAGCAGCCAGACUACAUGGACGAGACUAGCUAACUUCUUUUAUCCAGGGCAGGAAAAGAGAAGUCUGGAGUGAACCACCAAGUUUAUUAUCGAACUUCAUUUUAUAAAACUUACAAAACAUAGCCCUGCAAAUUUACAUAAAACCCACUCAAAACUAAAUGAAAAAAGAAAUCAAAGGGAGCUGCAUCGUACACCGGUGGAGGACUGCUUUUGCCUGCACAAACAAUUUUGCCCGCUGACGGAUAUAACCUGAAUUUACAACAAAAAAAGUCAUAUGAUAUAACCUGAAUGCUGCACACACUUCUUGAAUCUUUUGCUCAUAAAAUCAUUUAACUAAUUGUCCAUGUAUUCAUGUUAAACCAAAUUCUGUGCACAAGUUCAGAGUAAGCUCAAAAUGCACUGCUCAAACACCAAAUCUCUUGCCUGUCAUAAGCUGCAUGCUGCUGUGAGGAGGAAUCGAGAUGGGAAAGGAAAUACAGGGCACCUGGUCGCCGGGUGGCCGCCAUGCCACCGAGCAGCAGAGGGAGCCGUCGUACACCAAGAAGCAGCAUGAGCCGCCCGGGUGCAGAGGGUAGCGGGCAGCAGCAGGAACUGCCGGGCCUCCGACCAGCAGCAGUAGCCGUCGGGGUGCUGAGCUGCAGUGCCGCUUCGUGUUCCUAGCUGCAUCAGUGCCUCAGUAAGAAUAUUGUAGAUCGUAAAUAGCCCUGCAAAUUUACAAACUGCUUUUGCCCGCACAAACAAUUUUGUGCGCCGACGGACUGCACCGACAAUCGAGACGACCUGCAUCGGGGAGCGACUUGUACUGCAUCAGUGAAGAGCAACACGAGAGGAGCAUAGGUGAAAGAGAGACGGGGCUAUUGUGCAUGCCGGCGUCACUGAACUGCAGGAGGCGUCAAUGUGCACACGACACUAGAGGUUGCAAUGUACUGCACCAAGAGAGAAAAAAGGAUGAACACAAGGUUUGGAAUCCACUCACGAAUCCCGAGGACGCCCGCCUCACAGCACAAAAGUGUACUGCACGGGAGUCGACGAUGGUCGCGUGUGCCUGCUGUGUGGACUGCUCCAGCGGAGCGACAAAAGCUCCCAGAGAGGAAGACCCAGCCGACCUACAUUAGGGAGCAGCCUGGACUGCUUGCCGUCAGUGGAGAAUCGCAAGGAGAGGAGCAUAGGACCGGGGAGGAAAAGGAGGAGGCUAGGGCGUCCCCUCGAUUGAGGCAACACGGAGUCAGGGAGCCUGGAGCUGCAAUCCCGUCAUUCACCAACUACACAGUCUCGCUGGCCAAACUGCACGGGGUCGAAGUAGUGAGAAUGAAGGGAGCCUGGGCGCGUCGGAUUUGGCCGAGAGGUGGAAGCAGCAGUCGUCAGGGUCGCCGUCGAUGGAUCCAUGGCGCGCCGAUGGAUCCGAGGAGGGGACGAGGUAGGGAGGCGGAGGUGGAGGUCGGUCCUCGAAUCCUGUCGCUUGGCGGCGUGGCGGGGCAAGNNNNNNNNNNNNNNNNNNNNNNNNNNNNNNNNNNNNNNNNNNNNNNNNNNNNNNNNNNNNNNNNNNNNNNNNNNNNNNNNNNNNNNNNNNNNNNNNNNNNNNNNNNNNNNNNNNNNNNNNNNNNNNNNNNNNNNNNNNNNNNNNNNNNNNNNNNNNNNNNNNNNNNNNNNNNNNNNNNNNNNNNNNNNNNNNNNNNNNNNNNNNNNNNNNNNNNNNNNNNNNNNNNNNNNNNNNNNNUGUCGCCUGGCAAAGUUGUAGCCGCGGCGGGGUGGGGAGGCGUUGUGGCACGGAGCUGGGGCUGGGGCCGUCGACGUCGGCAGUGGGGGGGAGGCCCAGGUGAGGAUCUGUGCGGCAGUGAGGAAGUGGAUCGGGGCGUGGCCGGGAUGGCGAAGGCGGGGUGGCGUCGCGGUGACUAGUAGUGGAUGGAGGAGGGGAGGUGGGAGGAGCCGGUGGUGGAGGGAGAGAUCCUGCCUUUUUUUUUGAGGUUGUUCGUGUCGGGCUAUCUCGGUGCCGGUGUUAGCAGAAUAAGGUUUUUGUGUGCAGAAUAAGAGUCUUAAGGGUGUUAGCAGAAUAUAUAUAUAUAUAGGACAAUUUUUUCCUACUGCCAGGUGUAGUUACUACAACUUUUGUUUAUACGUUCUAGGUAGUAUCUAUCAUAUCGGAGAGUAUGUACGCAUAGUAUGUAGUAUAUAAGAAUGUUUAGGUAGUAUAUAUACUACUUUGUUGGUAGUAUGUAUCAUAUAUUUUGCAUACUCUAUUUCGCGUAUAAAUAUGUAUGUAUUUCAGAAAUACAAUAAAACUAUGAGCUCACUUGCAAUUUUUUCAUAUAACUCACUUUGGAGUAUCUUAUAUAUAGUAUAUUAACAUAUUAAAAAUAAUAAAAUAGAGUUUAUACUACCACAUGGUAGUAUAUGAGAAAUGGGUGUAGCUACAUUCGGUAGUAGGAUGCAUUUUCCCUAUAUAUAUAUAUAUAUAUAUAUAUAUAUAAUUUAUAUAAAAUAAAAACACACGCGGUUUCAACCAUGUACAAACUACAAAGCAGACGCUACACAAGACAGAAAAGUCGCCUUUUAUACAAAUUAUCUACCUUAGAUAACACACAGUACACACCAUAAACCUAGCUCUUGUCCAAACGCAGGGCUUUAACCAGAAUAUCCCAAUGACUGUUACUGCGUACACGGCUGCGACUGCGACAGGGAAGUAAGCCCAAGGCUUGCAAUCAGAUCUUGUAGCUCAAGUGGCAUGUCUUCAUAAUACAACAUGUUCAAUGGAUUGAACAGCGGCUAGAAAAUGUAUGCCGCCUUCCAAUCUUAAACAAUAGGCUGAAAAAAAUAAAAAAUGCAGAUAAGUGAUUAAAAAGGUUGUGAUAAGAACAACAAAAAGUGAAAACAUUAAAAAACAGUAACAACAAGGACAAACAGAGAAACUAUUACAUCAGAUUUCACCAUUCUAUCGACUAGAUGCAUGUCGUCAUACAACUGCGUCAACCUCAGAACAUAGAUUCCGCACUCGUUUGGCCCCUGCUUUGGCACGGCCGGGCAAUAGGGCUUCUCUGCCAAUUUAACCCAGUCAGGUGAUUCUUAGAGGUAUACAACUUUUCACCAUAAAUCCUCUUCAACAGCUAAGUCAUCCUGCUCAUGUGGCAAAAGGGGGAAAAGCAACACAAAGUAAAAAACACACGUCACAGACCAAUAACCAUCAAACGAUGCAAAUACAAGUUCUUCACAACGUCUAGAUAAUCCCUCUUUUAAUGCAUGUGAGGUCAUUUCGUUUUAUCACUCUCUUUACCCAGGUUUGGCGGUGGGAGAAAUGUAGUUCUGUGCCACAGAUGUUGCAGUAUUAAGAAGUGUGGUCCUAUGUGUACUAAUAAUGUAGUCACUGUGCAGUUUAAAAAUAUAUGCAGUAGGAGAAAUACAAAGCUUUGCAGUUGGCUAAAAACAUGAUAUAUCACUUCAGUGCAAUAAGAGUGGAAGUCGCUCCUGUGCCACUUUGUCGUGUAAUCAGCAUGGCCAGUGUACCUCCUGGUGUCAUGGAUAUCAAUGCUCUCGUGAUGCCAGUUCAUCGUGUAUAGGGCAUAAUGUUUAUGCUUGGAGCGGGGCAUCAAAAUUUGUCGCAUAAAGAAACAAAUGAAAUGAAGUUCAUUCGACACAUAGCAUUAGGACCACUGCUUUAAAUAACUACAAAAAGAAAAUGCAAAAAAGAAAAAAAGAAAUGAUGGAAACAAUGGCCUUACUAGUUUUGCGUCCAACAGGUUUUCAUCGCCAACAGAAACCUUGAACCGCUUAACCGCAUCUUCUAAAACAAAUGGGCUAUGCACAACUGGCAACACAGGGUAUCCUUCAUCAUUUCUCCACACAAUGACUUCGAUUUGAAGAACUUACUGCAUAGAAAAAGAACAAAUGGGACAUGAAGAAAGAAUAAAGAUGCAUGUAUGCAUGGACAUAAAAAAUUCAUAACAAGAGGAAAAAAUGCACCAAAGCAAAAAAUACAUGACAACAGACACAUUUACCGUGAUAAAUAAAGGUGAAAGUAGCACACGUUCCCCAGAAUGACAAACUAAACUCAUUUCAGGAUCUUGCUUCCAGUACUUAAUGAUAUGAUCCAUGAGAUACGAGUCUAUGCAAGCUCCUUUGCCAAAUGUAUUAUAGAUAUAGUCAACUUUGACUAUUUGGACAUCACCAAAAGCAUUAUUCACCCUCAAGAAUGCGUUGCUGCAGUAAAGAUACACAAAUGGGAUCAGAAUAAAGAUUGAAACAAAACACACAAAAAGGAUCAAGGACAGACACAUAAACUUGUUGUAUUUGGUUAUAAAAUCUUGGCUGAGAACGAGAUCCUUUAUUUUCCUCACCUCAUCAAUAUAUUUGAACCUCGGAGGCCUCAAUUUCUCUAAAGUGUCUGUCAACUUAAAAGCCCUCUCACCUGCCCUCUUGUUAGAAAAUACUUGAGCCUCAUCAACGGGGGACGAUUGAUUGCUGCACUCCUAGUCCUAGUGACGCGUGGCACUGGCGUAAUAGAAUCAUCAUCAACAUCAACUACCUCAUGUAGAGCCAGGUCGAGCGACCUUUCCACCAUCAGGUCCAGAUGCCACAUCCAUGUUCAAACCAUCUCCAGCCAAAGAACCAUAAUUCUCUAGAGAGAUUUCAAUGGCACAAUCCUCCGUAACUACCUCUGAACCCUGGGACUCUAAACAGUGAUAUACAAUCUCCAUGAAGACCCCCAUCAAAACCUGAUAACGAGGAGAAAAAACAUGGGAGCACUCAGCCCAAAUACAAAACCAAAAACAUUAAAUGCAGCCCACUAAAAUAAAAAAAUGCAGUUCACUAAAGAACAGAGUGCAUCCCACUUGACUAGAACAAUGUAGCCACUUGCAUAAAACAAUGCAGCUUACUUGCACCGAAUAAUGCAACUCACUGGUCUACAACAAUGAAGCUCACUUACACAACAAUACGUAGCCCUCCACUGUCAAACACACAUUUCACUAGCACACUAAUAAAAUAAAACAUUAAGAAGCGGAAGCAGGCAGUAGACAAAAAUAAAUAAGGCAAAUAAAGCACUUCAUUAACACAACCUUUAUCUGCAAAUAUUAAAAGUGAUGAUAACUCAAGGGAACACUUUGUCGAUGUGAGCCAUCUAUGUAGCAUCGCCUUUCUGAUGUAGCCAAUGUGCUCCACCCCAAACCGAGCAACUCAAACACCAUCCCAAGUUUGCAAGAAUUGAAACACAUAGGUUCCACAAUCAUGCCUGUGAAAAAAGAACCAAAACAUCAGUUUCACAUAAAUAUAAAAGAACAGUUGAGGAGUAUGGUCGAGAGGGGCUACAAGGAACAUACCCAUUUUGUUGAAUUGGGACAACCACAUGUUUCAACGCAAAGCCAUCAAGUGUAGGAGGAUUUAGUGGCUCAUCUGAACUUGAGCUACCUUCUUUCCAUGCAUGCUUGAUAUUUUUAACCAUCCCCCUAAAAACCCUGUUUGCUUUAGAGUUGCCAGGUUUACUGAGCGAGUCAAGAAACUCAAACCGCAUUUCCUUCACAUUCAAGGCAACUACACAAUAAUGGCCAACGCCAUCCCUCGUGUCUGGUGGAUAAGCAAAUAGGACCCAUUGGAAGUAAACGUAAAUAAAAGUAUUACGAGAACAAGAAACAAAACACUGUAAAACCAACACAGAAAAAUGGUUUUAGACACAUAAAACAUUACUUAUCAUAUCUAUUUUAUCGACACAUUCCUCAGCUUUUGAAGAGAACAUCAAUUUCACACCCCUGCCUACACUAGCACCAUUCCAAAUACUUGUCAGCCAAAACAAACCAAAACAAGAAACAGUGUUGAAGCAAACAUGUCAUCACACGAAAACAGAAAAGACAAUCAAAUAACAAAUGAAAAGAUUUGCAUGCUUACAAAAAUAUGGUACAGGACAAACAUCGUCGGAGAUCCCUUAAACUUAUCUACUAGCAAAGAAACCCCUAGAUCUACAAGGCCUGUAGUGAGCAUCCAUUUAUCCCAAAAAGAUUGACCAACUUCAUCAAUGGUAAUAUCGGCCAACUCAGUUUUAAAAGCAAUCAUGUCCCUGAAUAUUUUUGAAAAACUGAAACAUAAGAUACUACAAAAAUAACAAGAACAAAAAGGGAAAAGACUCCGAUUAGAAAAUACAUGUUAACAAAACAAUUUAUAAAAAGCCAUACUUCACCUUUUUGUCCCUUAGAGCCCUAGUAAUAGCAGUGUACAACUCAUUGUAUGUUUUGAGAAGAGCUGGAUUAAUGCUCAACCGUGUCAGAACAAGAAGUUCGUCAUCUGCAAUCAAAAAAUAAGGAACAAAUAAAAUAUGAAGUUCACUUAUGUAAAAUAUGAAGUUCAAUUGUAAGAUAAGAAAAUGUGCUAGCUAGCAACUAUUUUGAAAAUCAUCAACAAAGAAGAAGUUCACUUAUCAUAAAAAAUCUGAUGCAGCUACCAUAGUAAUUAAAAAAUGAAUGAGAAAAACUUCAAUCACUGUUCAAAACUAAACACUUGCCUUCAGUGUUAGAGUCUUCAUGUUGUUUUUCUUCAGAGCUAACCAAAACAUUUUCUCGGCUAGGUUGCGACGAGACCAUGUGACGUCCCCGAUUUAAUUGUACACUAAUCAUACACAGAAAUGUGUACGAUCAAGAUUAGGGACUCACGGGAAGAUAUCACAACACAACUCUAGACACAAAUUAAAAUAAUACAAGCUUUAUAUUACAAGCCAGGGGCCUUGAGGGUUCGAAUACAUCAUCUCGAAUACAAACGAGUCAGGGAAGCAACAAUAUCUUAGUACAGACAUGAGUUAAACAAGUUUGCCUUAAGAAGGCUAGCACAAAAGCAACAUCGAUCGAGAAGGCAAGGCCUCCUGCUUGGGAGCCUCCUAUCUACUCCUGGUCGUCAGCGUCCGUCACGUGGUAGUAGGCACCCUCGGGGUAGUAGCAUCGUCAAAGGUGUCAUCUGGCUCCUGGACUUCGUCAUCUGGCUGUGUCAUCCGAGAAGAAUGGAAAAGGGGGGAAAGAGGAAGCAAAUCAACCGUGAGUAAUCAUCCAAAGUACUUGCAAGCAAGGAUCUACACUAAAUAUGCAUUGGUGUCAAUUGAAAUGGGUUGUAUCUGUGGACUGAACUGUAGAAUGCCAGAAGAUAAGGGGAAAAGCUAGUCCUAUCGAAGACUAGCAUCUUCUGGAAACCACCAUCUUGCAGCAACAUGAGGGAGUAGAGUAGUAUAACAUAAGUCAUAUUUAUGUUGUUGUAUCAACGCUCCGGGAUCCUUUCUCGACUCCCAAAGCAACCUAUCCAAAUCAUGCCUCGGCAUAUAGUUCUAGUUGUAUCGAUCGGGAUACAACUCCAAGUGUCCGUUACCGUAGGACAGGCUAUCGAUAGAUGUUUUCUUCCCUGCAGGGGUGCACCAACUUACCCACCACGCUCGAUUAACUCCGGCCGGAUACACUUUCCUGGGUCAUGCCCGGCCUCGGUCAAACAAUACGCUGCAACCCGACCUAGGCUUAAUAGAGAGGCCAAGCACGCCGGACUAAACAUAUGCCCCCAGGGGUCAUGGGCCAUCGCCCCGGGAACUCCUGCACGUUGCGAACGCGGCCGGUGAGCAGACCUAGCUACCUCCUUCAAAAAGGCAGGUGCUUACCAGUCCAACCCGGCGUGCACCACUAAGUCGCUGACAUCUAUUAAGCUUCGCCUGAUGCAUACGACGCAGAACACCCAUACUAUGCCCACGUGAUGGUUAGUGCUAUCAGGCCAGGGGCCCCUCGGAUCAAAUAUCCAAAUCAUAGUGGAUUAGGAAUGCGCGGUAACAAGGAAAGACUCAUGAAAGAUGUGACCCCGUUGCCCCGUCUCGAGGACUUGCGAUAAGGGCUAGGAAUGCCCGACCACACCUCAUAAUUAUCUUGCAGGCACCCUCCAGGUCAAGCCGUCUCCACAUCACUCGCGGGUACCCCUUAGGGUCGACCUGGCUUUUCAAGUAACAGUUGUAAUGUCCAAGUAUCCGUGUAUCCAAACAUCAAGGGGAAACCCCGAGGAAUCACCCCCGGUGAAUUCCACUCGAUGUAAUCAUCAAGGUGAACGUAAGAGGGACCACCCUCGAGGCACACACUUGAGGGGUUUUAUGACAGAGUCGUAUCGGAAGUGGUUAAAGAGGAAAUCACCCUCGAUGACCACGACCAAAUAGCUACACUACAGGGUUAACAUCAGAAGUGCUGAUGAGGCCUCACCCUCGGCACUCGAUAGUAACCCAGUAGUGUCAAGCAACUAAGGGGAACUGAUGUGCGGUGUUGGGGCCUGGUCUUUGAUCCCGUUGAUCGGGUCUUCGAUGAUGAAGCAGGGGCAACUAGGACAAGGUGGGGGGUCACUGAUGGAUCACUAACCAACCUAUACUAAGCAGUUUAGGAUAAGCAGGUAAGUAACAAUAAGCAUGUUACAAAAGCAGGCUAUGCAUCAGCAUAGGAGCAAACAAUAACAGUAGCAAAAUCUAAUGCAAGCAUGAGAGAAUGGAAUGGGCGAUAUCGAGAUGAUCAAAGGGGGGGGGCUUGCGUGGAAGCUCCGCCUAAAGGGAAGAAGUGUCAUCGUCGACGUAGUCGAUCACAGGGGCGGCAUCGGUCUCGGGGUCUACCGGAGAGAAGAGGGGGAAGAAACAGUAAAUACAGAGCAAACAAGGCAUCACAUGGAAAUACACAGAGCUAGGAGUGUUCUAAUGUAGUGCUGCACGAUACAGGUGAAGGGGGAAUUCAACCGGGAAUGUAUUCCCGGUUCCGGACCUGUGUCAGACAGAGGACCGGAGGGGGAAUGUUCCAUGUUCAAGUAGUUAGAGGCAUCUGACAGGUAAACGGACCGUGUAUUCGGAUUAGUCUCGUUUUUCUAAGUAACUUUCAUGUAGAAAACAUUUUCAUCCGAGUUACGGUUUAUUUUCUAUGAUUAUUCAAAGAUUGAAGGAUUUUCAGAAACUAUUUAAACUAACAAAAAUGGAAUUAUGACGUCAGCAGAGUGUCAGCAUGACAUCAGCAGGUCAACAGAUCAGCUGACCAGGUCAAACCUGACAUGUGGGUCCAGCAGGACCCACAUGUCAGCCUCUAUUAGAAAAACAGUGGAUUAAACUAAUCUUGUAGGAUUAAUUAGGGGUGUGGGCCCCGGGUGUUAGUGAGUGUUUAGGUUAAUCUAAUUAGUCUUAUUUAUAAAACGUUUAUUAGACUAAUUAACAGAAGGGGCCCACAUGUCAGUGACUGGGGGCUGCAUAGUAAACACAGUUGACCGGUCAACAGGCCGGCCGGGCCCCUGGGGCCCAUGGGUCAGAGAACCAGUGGGGUGGCCCCGGGCCGACGACGUCAGCGUGGGCAUCGACGUUUAACCGCCGGUGGCUAUAGCCACGGCGGAGGGUCGGGCGCGCGUCGGAAUCCAUCUAGGGGCGGCCGUUUCGUGAGCGGUUGGCACCAUUUGAACGCGUGGACGACGCCGAGUCGGGUGGUGGUGGUGGCUCACCCGAGGACGGCCGGAGAUGGCGCCGGCGUGGAGCACGGGCGGAGGUGGCCUUCUACGCUCGGCGGAGAUGGUGCUUGAGGACACGGUUCUUCGUGCGGAGUGGCUCUACGGGCGGCAGGUGCUCGCGCGCAUCCAUUGCCGCAGUCGGCAGUAGGCGGGAGGCGACGAGCUCGUCGGAGAAGAGCUCAUGGCAGCGGUCGGAUCACUAGCCCGUCGAGGACGGCGCCAGGAGGAGUGGGAGGGGUAGCGAGCGCGUGCAGCGAGUGCAGGCGGAGGUGCUGAGCAUGACGGGGUGGUCGGCGGCGAGCUCAGCGAGACGUGUCCAUGGCGGCGAGCACCACCGUGGCGACGAUCUCAGACAUGACGAUGGGAGCAGCUACAGGGGAAGAAGAGAAGCGUGAGGAGAGGGGAAAGACGCGUUGGCUCACCGGGAGCCAUAGGGAGGUGGUAGUGUGCUCGGGGAGGCGUGGAGUGUCCGGAAUUGACGGUGACAGACAGCGGCGAUCCGAGGAAGGAGAAGAAGAUGGCGGCGGCAUAGAGGCUUCCCGGCUCGUUCCGUUCGGUGUAGUCGAUGUAGUCGAUGUCGGGUAGGCGUUCAAGCACGUCGACGAGGCGAACAGGAGGCGGUGGCCGCGGAAUCAACGCAGCGAGGGCGGCGAGCCUGCUCGGAGGAGCUCGGGCAGAGGGGAAGAAAGAGCGAGGGAGUGGGAUGGCGAGGGGGGUCUGGGGGAGAGGGAGAGGCGGAGCGGGCGAGGGGAAGUGGGAGUGGCAGUGGAGGAGGGGACCAAGGCAUCGGGAGGCUUAUCCACCUCAACAACGGCGAGCGGGUGCGGUGGGGGCGCGCUCGGCGCGUGCACGGGGUCGAUGGAACAAUAGGGAGGGUAGAGCGACCGGGGAGGGGGCAUGGGCCGGCCUGCUAGGCCAGCUGGCUCGGGUGUCCGAAGCCCAAGUGGGGCAGGGGCUUUCUCUCCCACUCACGUCUUUUUUUUCUUUUAAUUUUUCUUUUGAAAACUUUUCUGUUUUCAUUUAACAAUAGCCUUUUACAUUUUCUUUUGCAAUAAUUACCUUUUGCAAAAAUGUGCCACUGGUGAAAACAAAUACUAGGGGAAGUGGUGCACUGCCACCAUAAGCUUGGGAUUUAUUUGAAUCCAUUUGGAAUUUUCCUAAUUGGAAAGGCAUUUAAAAUGUUGUUUUGCACUGUAAUAAUUGCUUCUGUCCACCUUAGCAUUGUGGUGAAGUUGUUUUCCCUUAACAAUAAAUUGUUUUGGAAUAUUUUCUAAAUGAUGAACAUUUUUCCAGUAACUUUGUGCAACUUGAAAUUUUCAAUUUGAAUUUGAACUAGAUUCAGAGAAGGAAUUUGAAAUGAGAAAUUAAUCCAAUGUGAUUAAGCUUUGUAAAUCAAGAUGACUUGGCAUUGAUCAUAAGGGAUUGCUGUAGUGUGAUGCUGGGGACGCUACGAACCACCACAACCUCACUUGACCGCCCUACUGUAGCAACUGGAUUUUCAAUAGUCCGAUCAACCACCAAUGUCCUCAUAUAAUUCAACUACAUGAGGCUCCACUCUGAAUACAUAAGGAACAUCAUUGGACGCCAGACAAACAGGAAAACCAGCAACACUACCAGCAGGAACGACAUUCUCCAGUGGCUUUUCAGUGUCAAUAUCAGAAUCUUCAUGCCAACUAGGGGCAGCAACAUGGUGGGAUUCCUAAGCUACAUAAAGUUCUGCACUAUCAACGGCAACCGAUAUAGAAGCAUUCACAUUGUCACCACCAACAACAACACAAUCCCCCUGGUUCAUAUCAACACGAACAAUGCCAACCGAUUGACGAACUUCUACGUUUACAUCUCCAGGCUGCAAAAAGUUCUAGAAAGCCACAACAACACAAAAGAGCGAGGGGAGAAUUAACCCAACAACACACAGUUCACUUAUGUCAAAGACUGUAGCCCACAUAUGCAAAAGAACUGCAAUUCACUUAUGUAAGAAGACUGCAACCCACAAAUGUAAAACAACUGCAGUUCACUUAUGUAAAAGACUACAACCCACAUAUGCAAAAAGAACUGCAGUUCACUUAUGUAAAAAGACUGAAGGUCACACAUGUAAAGCUAUGCUGCUCACAUAUGUAAAAAGACUACAACCCACAUAUGCAAAAAGAACCGCAGUUCACUUCUGUCAAGGACUGAAGCUCACACAUGUAAAACUGUGCAGCUCAGAUAUGUAAAAGAAAUGCAUAUGAGUGAACAGAACAGUGUACGUCAAGCUUAUAACAACAACAAAAAAUUAGAUUACAACCCACUAACAGAAAAAGUAACUACACCAAACCUUAUCAGCUACGGCAUCCAGAGGGGAUGACGCAUCAGCCAAGUCAACAUCCUUCUCAGAGCCGUCGUAGGGAUCUUUGUGCACAUCACAAGCAGCAACUCCAGUCUACGGGCAUAGAACAAAGCAAAACGAAAUAAGAUGGUAACGACCAAAAAAGGAAAAAAAAACUUCAACCAUGCACAAGCAGUACACAUUUUAUAAUCGUGAGGUACACAGAAAAUAAAAUAAAAUGGAAAGAAAAAAUGCAGGUUCAAGAAGAGAAGCACAUGGCAGAACAGGCAUGGGAGAAGUACUUAUACCUAACCAAUUCCAGCGUCUCUAGAUCCGUGAACACCAGAAGAUUCGACUCUAGCCUAUGACAAAAAACAAAGAGUGAGGAGCAGUUCACGUAAUACAUGAAAGAGGUUCAAAAGGACAAAAAGCGGACAAUGUACAUUAUCAGCACUGGCGCUAGCGUCCCAUCGGUUCAUUUCAUCCAAAAUGUGCUCCGCAUCCUUCUCAUACCGAGCGCAUUUCUCUUCGUGUGAAUGUUUCAACUGAGCAUGCGAAGACCGAAUAUUCAUCACUACAAUCUUCAAGCUUUCAACCAUGCCAGAAUCAAAAUUGUGAGCAGCAACAAUAUCUUCUUCUUGGGGGCCAUGGCUACCGGGGAAAAACCAGCAAGUAUCCUCAACCCGUCACCAUAGGUUGGCAAAUCUUUAGUUAACUUCAAAACCUUCAGAAGAAGCUCAUCAACCUCCUCGUGUUUUUGCCGCCAACAAAUGUCUGUUCAAAAAAGCUUCUAUUAUCAAACAUCUGACGAUCCAUGAAACCAUGAGUAGGCGGCGACACAUUAUCAUAAGCAGGAAGCUGGCUACAAGUAGGCUCAUAGAAUCUAGCAUGACUGCCAGGCCCUGCAUCAGAGCUGCCGCACAGUACUGCAUCAGGACGGAUGUACACAAUAUCGCCUCACGCCUUCCACUUCAAAAAAGAUAAAAAGGGGAAACAGGUACACAUGUGAAUACUAGAAAGUUUAGAUUUAUAAUAAAUGCAAUUUUUUUAAAAACCCUAUGAUCUUAAAAACUCUGAUGCACUAACCGGCAGCCUCCUGAAUUUGUAAGUGUCCAGAUAAAAUUUUCCCUUUACAAGCAUAUCCUCGUUGUAUAACUUGAUCAGGUCCUUGUUCGUCAGGAAUGAUGCGCGUGGCAUCACUGUGUGCAUAAAUGAAAAUUUGCGAAGCUUCAAGCAAUCAAGAUACAUAAUCAGGGGGACAAUGGCACAACCCUCUACACUAUUCUGCUUGCUGCCUUCUAUCUGCCACUUCACCAUAGCUGCCUGCAGCUCUUCAACAACAAACUGACAAUAGUCCAUCUAUGCCAUAGCCGCAUAAUCUAUGUUCUCAACCAUGGCAGCAACCCUGCCCAAAUGAACUACAGGCCCGAGACACAACAAAUUCUGAUAAAGUAUCAGGAAGAAUACCUUGACGACAAGAUCAACCGUCAUAGGAUCAUCACCCUGCACCAACACCGCCUGCUUUUGAACCAAGUGCUUGACACAUAUACUUCAUGAAGGUUCAAAGCCAAGCUCAUCCUUGAGGGCAGAUAAUGAGCCAUCAUGGCCACUGGUAGCAGGCAUGGGUGUAGUGUGAGCUCCCAUAGGAAAAUCAAAAAUGUGAUGAACUGCAUCACGAUUGAUUCGAACAACUCUGCCAUUCCCAAAGUCCAUUGUCAUUGUGGCAGGGUCAAUCAAUCCCAUCGAAUUGCACAUAAGAAUGCGCAACACAUUUUUCUUUACUGUGAAGUCAAAGACAACACCAAAGCCAGCAACUUGAACACAAUUACAGUGUGCUUCUUUUAAUAAAGCAGCAGCUUUGUUCUACUUCUUGAGCUUGCGUUGGUUUUUCCCUUGAAGAGGAAAGGGUCAUGCAGCAAAGUAGAGAUAAAUAUUUCCCUCUAUCAUAGAACCAAGAUAUGAAUCCAGUACAAGGUCAAGCUAGUCCCCAAUCAAUGCACUUGCACAAAUAAUCAAACACUUGCACCCAACGCGAUAACGGGGUUGUCAAUCCCUUCACAGUCAAUUGCAAAGGUGAGAUCUGAUAUAGAUAGGUAAAACUAAAAUGUAACUAUUUUUUUGCGUUUUUUUGGUUUAUAGAUCCGUAAAUAAAAGAUUGCAAAAUAGUAGAUCAGAAAGAAAAUAUGAUGGAAAAUACACCCAGGGGCCAUAGGUUUCACUAGACACUUCUCUCAUGAAGGCAAAUAAUAUGGUCGGUAAACAAAUUACUGUCAAGCAAUUGAUAGAAAAGUGCAAAGUUGUGAUGAUAUUGAAGGCAAUGAUUAUGCAUAUAGGCAUCAUGUCCGUGUCAACUAGACCGACUCCUGCCUGCAUCUACUACUAUUACUCCACACAUCGACCGCUAUCCAACAUGCAUCUAGAGUAUUAAGUUCAUAAAGAAUGAAGUAAUGCCUUAAGUAAGAUGACAUGAUGUAGAGGGAUAAACUCAAGCAAUAUGAUGAAAACCCAUCUUUUUAUCCUCGAUGGCAACAAUACAAUACGUGCCUCGCUACCUCUAGUUUUUCACUGGGUGAGGAGACCGCAAGAUUGAACCCAAAAUUAAGCAGUCUCCCAUUGCAAGAAAUACCAAUCUAAUUGGCCAAACCAAACCGAUAAUUCGAAGUGAAAUACAAAGAUAUGAAAUCAUGCAUAUAAGAAUUUAAAGAAAAUUCAAAUAAUAUUCGUAGAUAAUCUGAUCAUAAAUCCACAAUUCAUCGUAUCUUGACAAACACACCGUAAAACAAGAUUACAUCGGAUAGAUCUCCAAGAUCAUCGAGGAGAGCAGGGUAUUGAGAAUCAAAGAGAGACAAGAAGCCAUCUAGCUACUAGCUAUGGGCCCAUAGGUCUGAGGUAAACUACUCACACUUCAUCGGAAGGGUAAUAGGAUUGAUGUAGAAGCCCUCUAUGAUUGGAUCCCCCUCCGGCAGAGUACGAGAAAAGGCCUCCAGAUGGGAUCUCACGAGGUUAGACACCUGCAGUGGCGGAAAAGUAUUUUCGUGGAUGCUUCUGAGUGUUUUGGAAUAUAUUUGAAUUUAUAGGACAAAGUAGGUCGGUGGACUCCCGAGGAGACCACAAGAUAGGGGCGCGCCCCCCUAGGGCAUGCCCCCCACGGCUCGUCGUCGCCUCGUGGGUCUUCUGACUUCAUCUCCAAGUCUCGUAGGUGUCUUUUGGUCCAAUAAAAAUCAUCACGAAAGGAGAUUGCAAAAUAGUAGAUCGGAAAGAAAAUAUGAUGGAAAAUACACCCAGGGGCCAUAGGUUUCACUAGACGCUUCUCUCAUGAAGGCAAAUAAUACGGUGGGUGAACAAAUUACUGUCAAGCAAUUGAUAGAAAAGCGCAAAGUUGUGAUGAUAUCCAAGGCAAUGAUUAUGCAUAUAGGCAUCAUGUCCGUGUCAAGUAGACCAACUCCUGCCUGCAUCUACUACUAUUACUCCACACAUCGACUGCUAUCCAACAUGCAUCUAGAGUAUUAAGUUCGUAAAGAAUGAAGUAAUGCCUUAAGUAAGAUGACAUGAUGUAGAGGGAUAAACUCAAUCAAUAUGAUGAAAACCCAUCUUUUUAUCCUCGAUGGCAAUAAUACAAUACGUUCCUCACUAUCCCUACUUUGUCACUGGGUGAGGACACCGCAAGAUUGAACCCAAAACUAAGCAGUUUCCCAUUGCAAGAAAUAGCAAUCUAAUUGGCCAAACCAAACGGAUAAUUGGAAGAGAAAUACAAAGAUAUGAAAUCAUGCAUAUAAGAAUUCAGAGAAAAUUCAAAUAAUAUUCGUAGAUAAUAUGAUCAUAAAUCCACAAUUCCUCAGAUCUCGACAAACACACCGCAAAAGAAGAUUACAUCGGAUAGAUCUCCAAGAUCAUCGAGGAGAGCAUGGUAUUGAUAAUCAAAGAGAGAGAAGAAGCCAUCUAGCUACUAGCUAUGGACCCAUAGGUCUGAGGUAAACUACUCACACUUCAUUGGAAGAGUAAUAGGAUUGAUGUAGAAGCCCUCCGUGAUUGAAUUCCCCUCCGACAGAUUACCAGAAAAGGCCUCCAGAUGGGAUCACACAAGGUCAUAGACCUGCAGUGGUGGAAAAGUAUUUUUGUGGAUGCUUCUAAGGGUUUUGGAAUAUAUGUGAAUUUAUAGGACAAAGAAGUAGGUCGGUGGACUCCCGAGGGGACCACAAGCUAGGGGCGCUCCCCUAGGGCGUGCCCCCACGGCUUGUCGUCGCCUCGUGGGUCUUCUGACUUCAUCUCCAAGUCUCGUAGGUGUCUUUUGGUCCAAGAAAAAUCAUCGGGAAAGUUUUAUUCCGUUUGGAAUCUGUUUGAUAUUCCUUUUUUGUGAAACUCAAAAACAAGGAAAAAACAGAAACUGCACUGGGCUCUAGGUUAAUAAGUUAGUCCUAAAAAUAAUAUAAAGUAGCAUAUUAAUGCAUGUAAACAUCCAAAACGGAUAAUAUAAUAGCAUGGAACAAUAAAUAAUUAUAUAUACGUUGGCGACGUAUCAAGCAUCCCCAAGCUUAAUUCUUGCUCGUCCUCGAGUAGGUAAAUGAUAAAAACAGAAUUUUUGAUGUGGAAUGCUACCUAACAUAUUUAUCCAUGCAAUCUCUUUUAGCUGACAUGAAAAUUCAGAAUCGUAUGAUUCAAAAGAAAAGUUCAUUGACACAAAAACAAUAAUACUUCAAGCAUACUAAAAGCAAAUCAUUAAGCUUCAAAAAUAACAUGGCUAAAGAAAGUUAUCCCUACAAUAUGAUAUAUUCUUGUUAUGCUCCCUCUUCUCAGCACAAAGUAUAAAUCAUGCCCACCCUGGUGUCAGCCAAGCAAUUAUUUCAUACUUUUUAAUGCGCUUCAGCCUUUUCAGCUCUUCACGCAAUACAUGAGCAUGAGCCAUGGACAUAGCACUAUGGGUGGAGUAGAAGGUGGUAGUAGACAAAAUAAGGGAGAAAGUCUCACAUCAACUAGGAAAAUCAAUGGACUAUGGAGAUGUCCAUCAAUUGAUAUCAAUGUGAGUGUGUAGGGAUUGCCAUGUAACGGAUGGACUAGAUCUAUAAGUGUAUGAAACACUACAAAAAAAUACACUUCUGUGAUGAUACGUGUUUGUCACAGUAGGUCGCGUUUUUUGUCAUGCAUGUCCAUCCAUGACAAAUUUAUGACAGAAUCAAGAUAGUCAUACCUGUGCUGUCGUAGAAGUGUUCCAUGACAUUACCAAAAUUAUCAUCACGGAAGUGUCCACUUCCAUGACGAUAAAUCGCGCGUCACAGAACUGCUUUCGUCCAGGGUGACCGACACGUGGCAUCCACCGUAAGGGAACGUCGUUAAGCUAUCGGGUCGGGUUUUGGAUCCGAUAACCCGUUAACAGCCCCGACCAAUGGGGAUUUUCCAUGUGUAAAAUCAUCAUUGGCUGGAGCAAACACGUGUCGGCUCAUCGUUGGGAAAGAUGUCAUCCGCUCAUUGGACCGAAGGCGCCUAUGAUACGGCGACACGUGGCAUGGCCCAAUAGAGGCCCAUUCCGGUGAAAAGGCCAGCCCAUUUGAAUUGGUCAAAAGGUGGCGGGCCGGCCCAUGGAAAGCCUGUUAACGGCCUGUUCGCUUAUAGUCCAUUUACAGCCCGUUAACCGAGGGCCCGUUAUACCCUAUCCGAAUUAGGCCCAGUAGCGUCAUCUGGGCCAUCCAAUAUGAUUCAACCUGUUUUAACUUCCAGCCCAUGUGUGACCCAUGACUUCUUUCGGCCCAUAUGAGGACCUUUGUAACUCUUGGCCCAUUAACGGCCCGUGCUGAAACUGGCCCGUAAUGAACAGUGUAUCACUUUAUACCCAUUAACAGCCCGUUAUUCCAUCGGGCCGUUUCUAGCCCAAGUUAUCUUUCGGCCUUCUCAGGGCCCAUUGAUUCUUGGGCUCAUUUGCAGCAUUCGGUUACAUACGACCCGUUACUAUCAUUUUCUGCUUGUGGGCCAAAUUCAGCCUGUCGUUACAGUCAGCCCGUUUGCGGACCGUUAAUACGUUGGGCCGUUUUCAUGUCAAAAAAACCAUUGGGCUGUUUUCAUAGAGUUAUCAAAUACGGCCUAUUAACGGCCCAUUAUGGUCCACGAAUAGUACGGCCCGUGAUUGGCGAAAUGAUGAUACGCCCCGUGGAAGGCCCAUGGAUCCUACGGCCCGUAUGAGGCCCAUGGAUAGUACAGCCCGUAGAAGGCCCAUGGACCCUACGGCCUGUAGAAGGCCCAUUGAUCCCUAAGGCCCGUAUAGAAGGCCGAUGGAUCCUACGGCUCGUAUAGAAGGCCAAUGGUCCUACGGCCGAACGAAGGCCCAUGGAUCAUAUGGCCUGCAGGAGGCCCAUGGUUACAACAGUCCGUGUGUUGCCAUGAUUAUUUUGGCCUAGUUACAAAAAAUAGGCAAUUGUGGCCACUAGAAAAACACAGAAAAAGAACUGCAGUGACUACAAGAAAACAACUAAACAAGACAAUAAGGAAAUAAAUAAGCAAGCAAUUAAGGCUAGCCUAUUACCGCUAUUACACAUACUACAUCCACUGGGCAUCAAAGUUCGCCACCAGUGCAAAUAUAGGGAACAAAGCAGCAUAUUACAUACACUUGGCCAUCAAAAAUGGCCACCAGUGCAAAUAAACGCGAUAGCAAAACAAGAGCAUAACUGAAACAACUUCAGAAGAGCUCAAGAAACGUUAUCCUAGGCAUCCACCAUGCUGGCAAUAAGCUUAGCAAGUUGAUUAGCUUUGUCCUGUUUGGCGCUAAAAUCCUCCAACGCUUGCUGUUGCACCAGAAAGUAUGCAUCUGAAUGCUCCAGGGACUUCCGCAGUCCUUCCGCUUCUUGUCGCAGCACAGCUGAUCGAUGUCUUUCAACUUGUAGUUGAGACUCAAGAAACCGAACUGAUUCAGACAGUGAGUUUGAAUAGCUUGUGCAUGCGGUAGUGGCCAGUAACUCGAACACUAAACCAAGACAUGACUUUGGGGUUGUCUCGCUGUCUUCAAGAUAGUCUUCCGUAGCUGUUUUAUCAGCUUUGUUGGAGACCAACAAGGAUGUGUCACUAUCCUGAACCUUAUCUGCAUUACUUCCUUUACCAUUGCUUAAUAAGGCACUCUUCCCCAAUAUUCUGUCAGCAUUCUAAAAGAAGAAACAAGCAGACACAUAAGAAGUUUAGCAUGUACUAGUAUAUGAAACUCAUUUCGGUGAACUAGUUCAUUAGUAUGGUGGACAGGAUUAAACUACCAAGUCUUCUAUUGUCAAGUACUAGUACAUAAUAAAAGCAUCAAACAAACAUAUAUCUAUGUCCUAUGGUCACUGCAUUGUCUUGCCAAAUCAAAAUAGAGACACGGUUCAAAUCAUACCAGUUCAAGACAAAGCAGCAGUGAAAGAAUACAAAGCGUGGGAAACUACACGGCACAACAAGAUUUCAGAUGGGUACCACGGGUCUACAUGUACAACAACACUAUUGGCUCUGUUGUGAUGCUAGUAAUGUGCAUGAUUUGAAAGUCAACUGUAUACAUAAUUGAAAUUGAAAUCAACAGAGCUAUUGGUAAGAGCAAACCUGUUAAAGAAACAUGCGUGCACAUACUUGCUGUGCCAUUGGAGUUUCGAUUGGAUCCUUCAAUUUAAAAAUAAGUUCGUAUCAGUAAAUACAGUGAUACAAGAGCAAAGCAAUCAUAGUUAAAAAAAAGGCGCGCCUAAGCGAGCGCUUAAGCGCGCCUAGGCUCUAGGCGUUGGCAAUACACAUUGCGCAUAACUACACAUAAUCUGUGCAUAACUGCGCAUAAGCAUGCGCUUUGGUCAGUAAAGCGCAAGGCGGUGGCAAAACGCACAAUUAACGCCUAGCGCUUUUUUGAACUAUGAUAGCAAUGGAAUCUUAAAUUAGAACAGUUGUUCUUCAGGUUUAGGUACUUGUUCUACAUGAACAGUGUACAGUAAGACGCGAGAAUAAAAUACUUCAAAAUAGAAAAUGAUCUCAUAGACCUUACCACAUUCUUGGUUCGGGACCAGUACAGAACAAGGCGUUCCCAGUCAUUGUCCAGUAAAUGUGUCUCAGGAGAACGUAAGGGAAUUUGAUGAGUUUCUUUGCCUGUGAAGUACGUUUUCUUCAGGUAAUUCCGAUACUGCCACCAAGCAUUCUUGAAGAUAGCAGAGGUAUUAGCACAGGUUACCUCAUCCUGAGUUUCCAAAUCGGUCCUUCUCUAUAGAGAAAAAUGGGAAAAUUUGCUGUAUUAUAACCAUCAUGGAGGUAGGAUGUAUGGGACGAAGCAAAGUAAUUGCCAUGAAUAACAUUACUUACACAUAACUCCUGGACAAACACCUGCAACUGGCAUUUUCCUUCAUCUUCAGUAUAAUAUUUCCAAGAUGGGAAGAUACGCACAUACGAUUUAACAACAUCAAAUGCGAUAGAUGCUAAACGACGACUGGCUGGUUGUGCUUCCUCCACAGGAAUAGGCGUACUAACUGGUGGAGUUGGGGUUCACCGUGAUAGUACUGGCCCUUUGGGCACUGGAGCUGCCGUACUAACUGCUGUUGUUUGGGAGCUCUGUGGUGGAGAUGGUGUUGUGUCAACAGGAACUGGGUUACUAUCGGCUGGGGUUGGGGUUAGAUUGGGUGAACCUGGUUCUCUGUCCAUCGCAGUAGGGGUACAAUCUGCGAGAGUUUGGGUUAUGUGUGGUAGGGCUGGUUCUUGUGCAUGUACAACUGGGGUGCUAUCUCCACCAAGAGGUAGCACUGUUUUAUUUAAAGACCGUGUUUUUAUUUAAGUAAUCAGGAUUGCAUCAUUUAAUUCACAUAUGUGAUUUAUAUGCUAAACAGAGGGCAUUCAAUAUGAUGUCUGAACUAAGAACAUGGUGUUGAAUAUUGUGUAUAUGAUGUCUAAACUAUGCAAUGCAAGACACCAUAUGCAUGAUAUGAGCAGUAUAACCGUGCCAAGUUAGAGCAUACACCUCAGCGGGGGAAUAGGACUGGUCAUCUGUCUCUGAAUCCAUCUCUGAGGAGCUAUCGGGACCCAACAAGAGAUCUGCUUCGACAGGUAGCACUGUCUGCUCUGAAGGCCUUGUUUUCACUCCAGAUUUUUCCAUCUCCCACCCAAAUGGCUGAUUCACAGGAAGAGUAGUUUAAUGUACAAACAUUUUCGACAAAUGGAAAUGUAAUGAAGAAAAGGAUGGGCAAGAUAUCAUUCAAAUAUAUGAUGCCUGGUUAAACAGGAUGGCAUUGCACAUUUCACAUAUAUUAUGGCUGGCUAAAAGACAUGAGACUGCAUAAUUCCCAUAUAUGAUAUAGAAACUAAACAGGUGGCAUUACAGAACAUGUCUAAAUUAAGCAUAUGACAUAUAUGAUGUCAAAAGUAGGCACUGCAAGGCAACAUAUGCAUGAUAUGACUAACAUCAUCAUGCCAAGGUAGAGCAAACACCUUGGGGGUAAAGAGGAGUGGUUAGCGGCGUCUGAAUAUGCCUCAGAACAGAUAUCUUCCUCUGGAUUACAAUCUGGAGAGGGGUAGGGACGGUUUGCCAUUGAACCCACCAUGGAGCGAUGUCUGCAUGACAUUGUAUUGCCGCGCAAUACUCUUCUCUUUUUCUCUACAUGUUCAGCAUGACUGUGUGAAAUAUCUGACAUGCAUACAAAAAAAAUAUGAUGAGGUUAUGUAAGGAGAGCAUGCAGAAAUUUAGAGUGAUGGUAACAACCAGUGGAUCGACGUUUUUCCGUUGAACCAAAAUAGCCCUAAUGGAUCGACGUGAAUGUAUAGUAAUAAGUGACGCAACAAGUGUACAACCUCUUUGUCGUAGCCAUGUCGACCUCAGCAUCAUUGGGUUGGUCGCUAAAGCAGUUGAGGCAGAGGUGGCUGUCGGAGGUGUGGAGGAAGAUCUGAGGAAUCUGUAGACGGCGUCCAGGGCACUGCUCUGUUGUGAUGGAUCGUUCUGUUGUUGGAGCAGCUCCGGUGAGCCCUAAGACGUCAAGGAUGAAGCAGCACAAGACAUACAUCGUCAAUCUCAAGUGGGAUUCUAAUAGCAUCUCCAAUAGAUGAUGAAAAAUGGAUGUAAAAUUAACAUCACCAAAAACCACCUAACUACAACAGAUGAGGUAAAAACUGUUAACUCUGAACUUAACUGUCGAAACUGAAAUUAACUGUGGAAUCUGAAUGCUACUGUCGAAACUGAAUGCAAUGGUAGAAGAGAGACA
Molecule: long non-coding RNA, 38565 nt
Filed under: Triticum aestivum (bread wheat)
Lineage: Eukaryota; Viridiplantae; Streptophyta; Magnoliopsida; Poales; Poaceae
Description: long non-coding RNA (TAES_LNC022374)
Source: RNAcentral